UAUUAACAGGCAUGAAAUCAGGUCUGUGAUGUGAACUGGCUUUAGGCUCUGAAGCCUAAACAGUGGUUUGCAUUCUGGAGCAAUGCUAUGGCAGAUUCCCCAUACUUCUCCAGCUUCGUGAUGGUCUCCUGGAGGCUGCACAGGUCUGGAUGCCAGUUACAGAAAAUACAAUCUACAAGGAACUCAGAGAACUUCACCUAUGCAUUAGCAAUAUGGUCUCGAAACCCAAGAUCUUUUCAUUUUUUGCUUACACACUGUAUUUCUUCACAAGAUCAUUUUAUACUCCUGGGGGAGUUGCCUUAGUUAUAGCCAGUUCAUCCCCAUUGCAGUCUGUAAGAAGAAAGUAGGGGCCAAAGUGAGCAUUUUCCCUUCUUAUAAGUUUUCCACCACUUAUUCUUGCAAUGUUUAACACAGAAUGAAUGUAUAUGGCCCUGUUUUGCCAUAAGGGGUUUUAUGAUAACUUUUCUUAAUCUUUUUCUGCUGGUGGCACCCCUUCACCUGAGAAAAUGUACUCCUAGGUAUUUAAAUACAUAAAAUGGGUAUUGAAUUCAAACAUUUGUUGUUAUAAACCCUAGAGAAAUUUAUUCUUAAAAAGUUUCAGUACAUAUAAAAUUUUACCAUUUAUUAUAUUCAAAAACAAAUUUGCAUUCUAAUGAGGUUGAUUUAUUUGUUUUAAGAGAGUUAAAUCUUGCUGAAUAUUCGAUAACUUAAGACAUUUUACAGAGAUGAUUGAUAUUUUGAUUUUCCAUUUGUCACUGUUAAGAACACCACUUCAUAUAAAUAUAUAGUAUAAAAUGAUAGGGUUAUGUUUAGGGCCAUUUCAUGAACUGUUGGAAAUUCUUUCUUAAUCCCAUGACAAAAUUCACUUAAUGGUUAUUUAUAAAAUGUAAAUCAACAACUCAAACAGCAAUUUAAAAAAUAAAAAUUCAAACAAAAUCCAAUGCAAAUCUAUACUAAUUUGACACUUAACAUGUGAAGGCACGGCUGUAAGAAAACACUGAAAGUUUCACUGAAGAGAUGCCUCAGUGGUUAAGCAUGUUUGCUGCUCUUGCAGAGGACCUGGAUUUUGCUUUCCCAACCCACAUUGUGUUGUGUGGCUCACAAAGACUUGUACCUGCAGCUAUAAGGCAUCUGAGACCAUCUCCUGACCUCCCUGUAUUAUUGAAUGCAUUGUGUACCAUUAUCC
This 1186-nucleotide long non-coding RNA is filed under the name Cricetulus griseus (Chinese hamster). RNAcentral describes it as "lncRNA (ENSCGRG00000025115.1)". Lineage: Eukaryota; Metazoa; Chordata; Mammalia; Rodentia; Cricetidae. The record is from RNAcentral.